Molecule: long non-coding RNA, 614 nt
Filed under: Elaeis guineensis (African oil palm)
Lineage: Eukaryota; Viridiplantae; Streptophyta; Magnoliopsida; Arecales; Arecaceae
Description: long non-coding RNA (EGUI_LNC000181)
Source: RNAcentral
UUGGAUCACGGACUCUGCUCCUCUCCCUUCAUGGCGUUCCCGCCGUCCUGGGGGGACGAAGGCGUCCUCUCUUUCCGUUCAGGCGGCUCGAUGGGCGAAGGUCGUCGCCUCUUGUUCGGUCUGGCAGCUUUGAUAGACGAGGGCGUCGUCUCUUCUCUGGCCGCUUUGAUCGGCGACGAGACUCCGUUCUUGGCCAGCGAACCCCUCUUUCUCUUUUGCGAGAGCUCUAGCCGCAGGAAAUCUGACAAGCUAUCUAGGGUUUUAUUCGUUCUAGCAGAAUUUUUCUAUUUCUUGAAGGAUUAGAUCCUUCUUAAGAAGGAUUUCGUUAACAUUUGACCUUCUUUAUCAUCCUGCUCUAGAAUUUGGUUUUCUUGUGUGUUUUCUUUUCUUUUCUUCAUCCUGCCCUAGAAUUUGGUUUUCUUGUGUGUUCUUUUUCUUUUACUCGUUUGAUGACGACUUAUGAAUCCUCGAAUUGAGAUCAAUGAAUUUCUGCGGACGUGUUGGUAUCUCGAAUUGGUUUAAUGCUACUGAUGGGUGAUACUGUAAUGUUAUGGCUAGUAUCUUUCUCAUUAUUUCUUUUUGGUUGUGUUGAUAUUUUUAUGAUAUGCUAUUUU